RNAcentral lists this long non-coding RNA (819 nucleotides) under Triticum aestivum (bread wheat). RNAcentral's name for it is "long non-coding RNA (TAES_LNC013798)". The record is from RNAcentral. Lineage: Eukaryota; Viridiplantae; Streptophyta; Magnoliopsida; Poales; Poaceae.
UCUUCACUUUCUCAAAGCGAGUUGUUCUCUUACCUGCAAGUUCUCUCUCAUUCAAAGUCCACAUUUUUUGAUAGAUCAUGCAUUAGGUUAAGUUGAAACAGCUGGGUUCAGAGAGAUAUGCUGUCAGGUUCCAGAGUUGUAACGUUGUUUUGUCACCUCUAUACUUUGAACUCUUCUACUGUAGCAUGAGCUGUUAUACUCAACACUGAAGCUAGUAAAAAAAUUGAGGCCCACGAAAUUUCCUGCAUUUCAAAAAAUAUUUUGUUAAAUUUCACACCGAAACAGGUCCCAAAUUCAAGUGAAAUUUCAAAGCAGUCUGAAAGAAUUCAUCAGAAAUUUUACUGGCAGCAGAGGAUACUGAACUCCGGUAGUCUGCUGAACACAUAUCGUAAUUAAUUGCCUAGAACAGAUGACAGUUGUUACUUGAUGCUUCGGCUAAUACAGAAGUUCAGACCAGCAAUGUCGUUCAUCACCUCGAAGACUUUGCGCCAGCCGCUGCGGAUGUCGCUCCUUCUCCGUCGGCGACUGUGCCACUCCACCCACUGGCCCCAGCAGCGUCGCCGCAAGCACCAACUGCCGCACCAUGUGCCGUCACCGGAAUCGAAGGUGACUACGAGAAAGGGUCAAUAGGUCACCGUAAUGGGGACUGACAGCAUGAACCCACCAACGGGAGUCACGCACGUUUCUGGGCUGGGCUCAAAGCGGGAGACACUGACCUUGCCUGAUGGAACUGACUGAUAAAAUGAGAAACCUCGCAGCAGCCGAUCAGGCCCGUAUGGGGGGCAUGUGCUGGAUGUGUAACUGAAGAAAAUGGAGCCC